GAUGAACGCUGGCGGCGCGCCUAACACAUGCAAGUCGAACGGCACCCCUCCUCGGAGGGAAGCGAGUGGCGAACGGCUGAGUAACACGUGGAGAACCUGCCCCCUCCCCCGGGAUAGCCGCCCGAAAGGACGGGUAAUACCGGAUACCCCGGGGUGCCGCAUGGCACCCCGGCUAAAGCCCCGACGGGAGGGGAUGGCUCCGCGGCCCAUCAGGUAGACGGCGGGGUGACGGCCUACCGUGCCGACAACGGGUAGCCGGGUUGAGAGACCGACCGGCCAGAUGGGGACUGAGACACGGCCCAGACUCCUACGGGAGGCAGCAGUGGGGAAUCUUGCGCAAUGGGGGGAACCCUGACGCAGCGACGCCGCGUGCGGGACGGAGGCCUUCGGGUCGUAAACCGCUUUCAGCAGGGAAGAGUCAAGACUGUACCUGCAGAAGAAGCCCCGGCUAACUACGUG
Molecule: ribosomal RNA, 459 nt
Filed under: uncultured bacterium
Lineage: Bacteria
Description: partial 16S ribosomal RNA
Rfam family: Bacterial small subunit ribosomal RNA
Source: RNAcentral